This 371-nucleotide ribosomal RNA is filed under the name uncultured bacterium. Its description in RNAcentral is "bacterial SSU rRNA". It matches the Rfam family "Bacterial small subunit ribosomal RNA", at positions 524 to 896 of the family's 1533-position model. The record is from RNAcentral.
UACGAAGGGGGCUAGCGUUGUUCGGAAUUACUGGGCGUAAAGCGAGCGUAGGUUGCUCGAUAAGUCAGUGGUGAAAGCCCAGAGCUCAACUCUGGAACUGCCAUUGAAACUAUCGAGCUGGAAUCUCAGAGGGGGUAGCGGAAUUCCAAAUGUAGGGGUGAAAUCCGUAGAUAUUUGGAGGAACACCGGUGGCGAAGGCGGCUACCUGGAUGAGUAUUGACACUGAGGCUCGAAAGCGUGGGGAUCAAACAGGAUUAGAUACCCUGGUAGUCCACGCUGUAAACGAUGACUGCUAGUUGUUGGGGGGUUCCCUCUCAGUGACGAAGCUAACGCAUUAAGCAGUCCGCCUGGGGAGUACGGUCGCAAGAUUA